RNAcentral lists this transfer RNA (91 nucleotides) under Clostridia bacterium. Its description in RNAcentral is "tRNA-Ser". It matches the Rfam family "tRNA". From Rfam's summary of the family: Transfer RNA (tRNA) molecules are approximately 80 nucleotides in length. Their secondary structure includes four short double-helical elements and three loops (D, anti-codon, and T loops). The record is from RNAcentral. Lineage: Bacteria; Bacillati; Bacillota; Clostridia.
GGAGAAAUACCCAAGAGGCCGAAGGGGCUCCCCUGCUAAGGGAGUAGGUCGGGGAACCGGCGCGAGGGUUCAAAUCCCUCUUUCUCCGCCA